GGUAAAGGAUCAUGAGCAGGAUCUGUCCACGAAUGCUUGAGUAUGAAUCAUCCAAUCCCAUCAAGAACUGCAUGACUUGCUCCUCGGAUUGAUACUCAAUUUGCUGAGGUCUGAAGUUCCCUGGCUCUUCCCAAAGCCCCUUCAACCUUGUGAAAUAUGAGAUCACAGAACCAUUAUUCUGAGAAAUGGACGAUAUGGUUUUCUGUAGCUGAUAGAUCCUGGGACCAUUACUUUGGCUAAACCUUUCCUUUAGAUCAAUCCAGAUUUGUCUAGCAGAUUCCAUGUAGAUCACACUAAUGCUCAUUCCUUUGGAAUGGAUUUCAAGAUCCAAGUGGAAACUAGCAUAUUGCAUCGCCUC
RNAcentral lists this long non-coding RNA (358 nucleotides) under Phoenix dactylifera (date palm). RNAcentral describes it as "long non-coding RNA (PDAC_LNC012760)". The record is from RNAcentral. Lineage: Eukaryota; Viridiplantae; Streptophyta; Magnoliopsida; Arecales; Arecaceae.